This 352-nucleotide unclassified non-coding RNA is filed under the name soil metagenome. Its description in RNAcentral is "partial contains 5.8S ribosomal RNA, internal transcribed spacer 2, and large subunit ribosomal RNA". The stretch from base 1 to 120 matches the Rfam family "5.8S ribosomal RNA", at positions 35 to 154 of the family's 154-position model. The record is from RNAcentral.
GAUGAAGAACGUAGCGAAAUGCGAUAAGUAAUGUGAAUUGCAGAAUUCAGUGAAUCAUCGAAUCUUUGAACGCACAUUGCGCCCGCCAGUAUUCUGGCGGGCAUGCCUGUUCGAGCGUCAUUACAACCCUCAGGCCCCCGGGCCUGGCGUUGGGGAUCGGCGGAGCCCCCCGUGGGCACACGCCGUCCCCCAAAUGCAGUGGCGGUCCCGCCGCAGCUUCCAUCGCGUAGUAGCUAACACCUCGCGACUGGAGAGCGGCGCGGCCACGCCGUAAAACACCAAACUCUUCUGAAGUUGACCUCGAAUCAGGUAGGAAUACCCGCUGAACUUAAGCAUAUCAAUAAGCGGAGGA